UUGGUCCAGUCGAGUUCUGAAAGUUCAGCUGUAAGACCUUCAACGGGGAGAAUGGAAGUUUGCGCUGGAUCGGAAAAUUGAUGAAAGAAAAUUGAAGCGGCGCGGCGCAGGAGAGAGAGAAAGAGAGAGAGGCAGAGAGAGAGAGAGAGAGAGAGACUGUGGCCGAGAGACAGAGAGAGAGAGAGACAUGGAGCAUCUGUCAGCUCCGCGCUGAAGGGGCAAGGUAAAGGAUUCCAUCGCAAAACUUACAGAAAGGACGCGGUUCCUUCAAAGAUUUAACCCCGACAGUGAAAAAAAGACACUUCCGACGUGGCAAUGAUUAAAAGCGUCGGAUUUGGCUCGUACAUUACACAGACAGAACAUGAAUCACCUUGUCUUUCUUAUCUGUAGAGAUUUGCUUUCAGCUACUUAAAGAAGUAAAUACUUCAGUCAACUCUCGUACAGGUUUCAUGGCCUUUUCUUAAAAUCUGAAUAAAUCUCGAUGGAGGGAUUGGGGCAAGCAAAGGCCACGAUGAAUCUCUGGCGAUUGAUGGCCAAAAUACAUAAGACCCUUUCACAAGGUGGUCUUCAAAUAUGUCCCUCUGUAUUUUGGGAGGGGGUUAUUGGCGUUCAGAAGGAUUGCUGCUAAACGGGGAGGGGGAGAAGCCCCAUGCACUGAGGAUUUCCGGCCAUUGACGGCAGUCCCAUCUUGUCGUUUUAAACCCCAGCAACAAUGCAGCAGUGUGAAUGUCCCGCAGCAUGACAGGACGUCAGAAACAAAAGCAGAAAUUGCUGGAAAAGCUCAGCAGGUCUGGCAGUCUCUGUGGAGAAAAAUCAGAGUUAACGUUUCGGGUCCAGUGACCCUUCUCAGAACUGGAAGGACACCAAAUAGCUCGCGUUAACAACGCCGGCAUGGAGUUAGCGAAUGUAUUCAUGAAGAACCUGGCUGCUUGCAUACCCUGCCGGACUGACUGGUACAAUCCAACGCGCAACUGAAGUCUCUAUCAACCAGCCAGAGAAUCGGAAUCUUGAUGUGAGCUGUGCAAAAAAUCAAC
Non-coding RNA from Chiloscyllium plagiosum (whitespotted bambooshark), 1034 nucleotides. NCBI's taxonomy places the organism in Eukaryota, Metazoa, Chordata, Chondrichthyes, Orectolobiformes, Hemiscylliidae. The record is from RefSeq and is a predicted model, not a curated record.